CUGAAUUCAGCGGCGGACGGGUGAGUAAUGCCUAGGAAUCUGCCUGGUAGUGGGGGACAACGUUUCGAAAGGAACGCUAAUACCGCAUACGUCCUACGGGAGAAAGUGGGGGAUCUUCGGACCUCACGCUAUCAGAUGAGCCUAGGUCGGAUUAGCUAGUUGGUGAGGUAAUGGCUCACCAAGGCGACGAUCCGUAACUGGUCUGAGAGGAUGAUCAGUCACACUGGAACUGAGACACGGUCCAGACUCCUACGGGAGGCAGCAGUGGGGAAUAUUGGACAAUGGGCGAAAGCCUGAUCCAGCCGUGCCGCGUGUGUGAA
RNAcentral lists this ribosomal RNA (320 nucleotides) under uncultured Pseudomonas sp. Its description in RNAcentral is "bacterial SSU rRNA". It matches the Rfam family "Bacterial small subunit ribosomal RNA", at positions 86 to 409 of the family's 1533-position model. Lineage: Bacteria; Pseudomonadati; Pseudomonadota; Gammaproteobacteria; Pseudomonadales; Pseudomonadaceae. The record is from RNAcentral.